This 468-nucleotide ribosomal RNA is filed under the name uncultured bacterium. RNAcentral describes it as "partial 16S ribosomal RNA". It matches the Rfam family "Bacterial small subunit ribosomal RNA", at positions 28 to 507 of the family's 1533-position model. The record is from RNAcentral.
GACGAACGCUGGCGGCGUGCUUAACACAUGCAAGUCGAACGGAGAGGCCCUGCUUUUGUGGGGUGCUCGAGUGGCGAACGGGUGAGUAACACGUGAGUAACCUGCCCUUGACUUUGGGAUAACUUCAGGAAACUGGGGCUAAUACCGGAUAGGAGCUCCUGCUGCAUGGUGGGGGUUGGAAAGUUUCGGCGGUUGGGGAUGGACUCGCGGCUUAUCAGCUUGUUGGUGGGGUAGUGGCUUACCAAGGCUUUGACGGGUAGCCGGCCUGAGAGGGUGACCGGCCACAUUGGGACUGAGAUACGGCCCAGACUCCUACGGGAGGCAGCAGUGGGGAAUAUUGCACAAUGGGCGGAAGCCUGAUGCAGCAACGCCGCCUGCGGGAUGACGGCCUUCGGGUUGUAAACCGCUUUCGCCUGUGACGAAGCGUGAGUGACGGUAAUGGGUAAAGAAGCACCGGCUAACUACGUG